Gallus gallus (chicken) is the source of this 791-nucleotide long non-coding RNA. The record is from Ensembl. NCBI's taxonomy places the organism in Eukaryota, Metazoa, Chordata, Aves, Galliformes, Phasianidae.
GGGCAACAAAGCUGGUGAGGGGUCUGGAGCACAGAACUUAUGAAGAGUGGCUGAAGGAGCUGUGAUUGUUCAGUCUGAAGAAGAGGAGGCUCAGGGGAGACCUUAUUGCUCUCUAUAACUACCUGAAGGGAGGUUGUAGUGAGCUGGGGGUCAGCCUCUUCUCUCGUGUGACUAGUGAUAGGACUAGAGGGAAUGGCUUCAAGCUGUGCCAGGGAAGAUUCAGGCUGAACAAUCCCAGCUCCUUCAGCCGCUCUUCAUAAGGCCUGUGCUCCAGACCCCUCACCAGCUUUGUUGCCCUCCUCUGAACAUGCUCCAGGGCCUCGAUGUCUUUCUUACAGUGAGGGGCCCAAAACUGGACACAGUACUCAAGGUGCGGCCUCACCAGCGCUGAGUACAGGGGGAUAAUUACUUCCCUGUUCCUGCUGGCCACACUAUUUCUGAUACAAGCCAGGAUGCCAUUGGCCUUCUUGGCCGCCUGGGCACACUGCUGGCUCAUGUUCAGUCUAGCGUCAAUCAACACCCCCAGGUCCAUUUCCUCUACAUAGUCUUCCAGCCACUCUGCCCCAAGCCUAUAGCGUUGCCUGGGGUUACUGCGGCCAAAGUGCAGGACCUGGCAUUUGGUCUUGUUGAAUCCCAUCCCACUGGCUUCAGCCCAGCUAUCCAACCUAUCCAGAUCCCUCUGUAAGGCCUCACUACCCUCAGGCAGAUCAACACUUCCAGCCAGCUUGGUGUCAUCUGCAAACUUACUGAGGGUGCACUCAAUACCCUCAUCCAGGUCAUCAAUAAAGAUA